GUGCAGCAGGCGCGAAAACUUUACAAUGUGCGAAAGCACGAUAAGGGAACUCUGAGUGCCUCCUAAGGAGGCUGUUCAGGUGUCUAAAAAGCACCUGAAGGAAGGGCUGGGUAAGACCGGUGCCAGCCGCCGCGGUAACACCGGCAGCCCAAGUGGUAGCCACGUUUAUUGGGUCUAAAGCGUCCGUAGCCGGCUGGGUAAGUUCCUUGGGAAAUUUGGCUGCUUAACAGUCAAGCUUUCAGGGAUACUGCUCGGCUUGGGACCGGGAGAGGUCAGAGGUACUCCGAGGGGUAGGGGUGAAAUCCAUUAAUCCGUUGGGGGACCACCGGUAGCGAAGGCGUCUGACCAGGACCGGGU
Molecule: ribosomal RNA, 357 nt
Filed under: uncultured microorganism
Description: bacterial SSU rRNA
Rfam family: Archaeal small subunit ribosomal RNA
Source: RNAcentral